CUCCGCGCGGCCGCUCGCCCAGGCGGUGUUGGCGAAAGCGUGGCGGCGGGUUGAGGGUGCGUCUUGUGCGGAGUCGCUCGCGCCGCCGCCUCACGGCAGCGGGCGGGAACCUCCAGGAGAGGCGUGAGGGGACUGAGGGGUGAAGGGUGAGGACGGAGGGUUGAGGGGGCUGAGGGCGGAAGGCUGAGUCCCUCCGCCUCUGAGGGCACCGCGUUAGACCCGUGGGGUGGGUCGAGGGAGGUGCCAGCCCCCGCCGGCACCGGGGAAAGAAAGGGUUAAAGGCCGGCGGUGUGUGGCCACCGCGGUGCAGCCACGUCCUACAGCGCCCGCAGGGCAGCUGCUGAGUGAGCGACACGUCUGCGCAGAGCUCUGAGGCAGCGGCGCUGGCCACUCGGGUGGCACGGGGCUGGUCUUGGAAGCGAGGGAAGCCUUUGGAGGUGGCACUGGGGGGCUGCACUUCGCUACUUAGGGUAGAUGCACAGUUUUCAUUUUCUGCUGUUAGAAAGCGGAGUGAUUCGUAACAGAAGGCUGAUCUAGUAGGAUUACCCCUCGUGCUAUGAAAUGUAGCAGAGCACAUAGGUGGCUCUCGGUAUACCUUUUUAAGUACAACUGAUGCUCGGUAGUGAGUUUACUCAAUAAUGUGAGGAGAAAGACUUCUUAAACGUUUUAUUAUUUUCACGGAGAGAUAGGGUUUGUGUAGAUCGUCUCAGUAGGAUGACACCUAAAACACAAAGAUCGGGGCAGAAUGUAGCCCUUCUGGGCCUCUCACUUCGUGUUCCCAAAGCAGCACUGACCGUCUCAUGGGAUGAUUCGGAAGAGCCACUCUAUGAAUAUGUAACUGGGCCCAGGGAAUAUAAGCCUGGCUCAGCAGCUCUCCCUGUGGCUGGAAUGUGGUACAAGAAGUACUUUGGACUUGAGAAACGCUGUUAUUCCAUGUAACUGCUUGGUGCUGAAGCAUCCCUGCCUUAUACCAGCCAUAGGAGUAAUUCACAAUCAUAUAACUCACUUACAAAAGUUGGAAAACAAAUGUUUUCACCAGAAAACUGGGAAGACAGUGCAAGAAACUCAACCCAGUGGAAAAUAACAGGAUACUUGGCAUUUACGUAAAGCCUUGGGUUUUCAACAUCUUGUGUAAUGAUUAGGUGUUUAAUCUUCUGUCCUCUGAGCCGGUUCAGUAAUGACUACUUCUGUGAUGAAACAGGAUAAAGUUCUUCCCAGUUAAAGACCUGCAAUUAAACUACUACUAUUAUUCUCCUUAUCCAAGCAGGCUCUAUUUAAUAUAUGUAUAAGUAAAUGCUAUUAAGAAAGUGCUUUUAUCUCAACAAGUCACAGCUUGAUUGUGGUUAACAAUAGUUUUUAUUACAGAAUCAUAACAUGUUUGGAUUGUCUGUGCACAGCUGUGGUGCAGAUCAGAAAAAGAUUUCCUUUCCUCAUGAGUUUAAUUUAGAUUUUUCCCCAUCGUCUUAAUGUGUUCUCUUAACUUCCUUUGUAUUUCAAAGAUGGGUUCAGAAAACACAAACAAAUAGUAAGAAAUGUGAAAUACUUUUACCUGUCUUCCUACUAAGAUCUUAUCUCUAAAUUCAUACAUUCUUCACGUUUCUUUGAGAACAUGUGGUUUCCCGCUGCAUGAAUGUGGUGGUGUGCCAAAUUGUGCUGAAUCCUGGCAGAAAUAAUUUCAGAAAUCAGGCAACUCUAAGCAUUCUGAGCUUCCUUUUUCUGUUCUGGAUCCUUUCUUAAGAGAAUAUAUUGGUACCUGAGCUUGUCUGGGACACCUUGACUUAGUUCUGUGAGCCUUGGAUCUAGUACAGCAAAAUGGUGGCUAUUUUUGAUCCCCACAUAAUAGCUGGAAACCAAGAAGAGCUCCAGGAACCUGCCCUAAGGAAAUUAAUUCAUUUAAAAGAUCAAGUUUAGAAGAAUUGUACUUGAAAGAAUUUAAACACUAGAAAAUAGACAAAUAUAUUAGAAACAGUGUAAUACCAAUACUAAGUAUACCUGGAUUAGACCAUUUCCAAACCCGUCAUCCUGAUUAGGGGUAGACAAGUUUCAACUUCAGUCAAAUUUUGUUACUGUGCUGGUUAGCUUCGCCUGCCAAAGAACUGCCAGAGAACAAUUUCUCCAUUAUGACCACUUCAGUGUUUCUUCCUCACCUGUCUCUGGUUUGCCAAGACAAAAGUCACACAACUGAUAAAGGGUCUACAGAAUUCUCUUAGCGUUAUUGUGCUGCUUCUGCUGUUCUUUUUGUGCACUUCUUAGUGGUUCUUUAGGUAUGAACAAGCCUUAUUUUGAUCUAACCAGCUGUCAUAGAUCCUGAUCCAUGAUUGGGAAGCCCACAUAUAGCUAAUGUACAUAAUUGUGAGUGUCAGUGGGGUAAUUACAGCAAUAUGAUUAAAGGAGUGAAAGGAAAAUCAGACACUGUGGGUUACCUGUGAGGAAAAAUACCUCAGAAUUUUCUAAAUUCUGAAAUCAAUGUACACCUCAUUCAUACGGAUUUGAUCUGAAGAGCAAACAAAGUAGUAAUAAUGUUUACAUAUCACAGUUUCCCAUAAAGAGCUUGGUAAGCCCUGGAAAAACAUGUAUGAAAGAACAUUACCAAGUUUCUCAUUACAGAUGUUAUGGGUUUGGUUGUUCCUGAGUAAUUAUUUAGUUUUAUAGGGCUUUUUUAUCUGAGAAAAUUUGAAGAAUACCUUGAAAAUUAAUAGCUCAUCACUAUAGUCAUAUGCAAUUUCAUCUUGUUCUACUUCUUCAUCUUUUGGAUAACUUUUCCAUUAGGAGGUGAAUGCCUCAACCCAAAGUUGUAUUGUUCACUUUUUCUUUUCAAACAUUGCUUAUUGCAGGCUCUGGAAAGAAGACAACUCAGGGAAAAGCACAACGAGAGCACAGCUUUACAAGCAGAAAUCUAACUCUGACACAAACCUCAUGGCUGAGGCUUAUUUUCUAUGGAUUUUGAAGCUGAAGAAACAUCUCUUAUCACACAAGGACAGGCUACAUUCAGUAUAGAUUAGGAGGUGGAGUGUGUGUCAAGGAAUGUAGGGAUUUCUGAGUAAAUUUGAAAUAACAGAACAGUCAAUCAGCUUCAUUGAUUUUGGGUAUUUUUAAACCCACCUUAAUGUAUGGGAUACACUGACGAUUGUGUUUUAAGCUGAUGCAGCUUGGAAAUACUUACUGAUGAAGUCAGUGUAGUGCUUGAUGUCUUAUUUCAAAAUAGUAUCUGCCUGUAUUCCUUUACACAUAUUUAUUUCACAUUUAUUUUAAAUGCUACAAUUUUUUUUAAUGUCACAUCACAGGGUCUUUUAAUGAAGGGCUGCUGAAUUAUUGAGAAAUUUCAUUCAGAAUUCAAAAUGUAGUAUGAACAAUCAUCUUGCAAAAUUCAUGUUGACCCAUUGUGCUAGUUUUGGCUAGGAUAGAGUUAAUAUUCACAGUGGCUGGUAUGGGGCUCGAUUUUUCAUUGGUACAAAGUCUGCUGUUUUUUCUUAGUCUUUAGAAACUGUGAUGUCUGAAGUGCUUGGUCAUAAUGUCAUAGAAGUAGAUUCAGCUCGUCUCUAACAUAACAGUGUGAUUUUGUUCAUCCCUUAUAAAGUUCCCUGUCUAAGGGAGUGUUUCACAGAGAAGUCUCUCGUCCACACUGGGACGAGCAGGAAUCUCCGAGCAUCUGUCAAGCACUGACUUGUAUGCUAGAGAUACAUCUUCAAAAUCCAUAUGCCAAUGCAUUUGCACAGGCAGAUUUUUAACAAAACAGGUUGUUUGGGAUAUUUUGAGCUGUAUGUGUGUGGCUCUGUUUUCAAUGGUGACUUGAGAACUGCAGUAAUUAGACUGUAGUGAAACAGCAGUGCAAGUAUCAGGCAGGCCUUUGGGCAUAAUAAUUUGAAGUCCUUAAACCAACUGCAAAUAAUUUUAGUUUCCAACCCAUUAUUCCAACUCAGUCGUUGACCAUACAGGUACGCCCCUUUGCAUACUGGGCAGAGUUGUACUGUGUGUAUUUUACUACAACACUGGCAAAACAAGCACUUGAGUAACCAGAUUAUAUUUAUCUGUGCAGUUAUUAUAGUUAAAUUCCAUUAAGUCAGUGAGAGCUUUUCCAGUGGUUUUAAUUUCACUAAUUUAGUAAUAGUAGUAACCUUGUAUUGGUUUUUAAAAAAACUAGGUUUGUUUGUUCGCUUCCCCCAUAGGAAACAUCACUAACAUAGAUAGUUUUAGUAUUAAAACAAUAUUGAUUUAGCCCGAUUUCAGUUGAUGCUUUUUUUUUUUAUUUAAACUCUCUUGGGAUUAUCUUUAUGAAAUGCUGUUGUGUUUACAUGUACAUAUUGUUUUGUAACAUGAUAUCACUUAUGUAAAAAUUCCUGUGGUAUUUUCCUUGGUUCACCACAGUCAUCAUCUUCUAUGUUGUCCGCAGGUGUCUGCCUCAGCAGCUGUUCUCACUGUGUUAGUGUUGAUAUACAGUUGUCAACUGCAUUAACUGUACGUUAAAGGUCACAAAGAGAAGUUGAUCACAGGUCCAAGUUCCUGUAUCUUUUCGUCCUGCUUACCUGCCUUUCCAUCUCAGUUCCAUUAAGUCUAUGAGGUAUUUUUUAUUCCAUUUAGUCUUAAAUGACAAUAUUUUUAUGGACUGUUCCAGACUACUCUUUAGAGAGACAGCCAACAAAUCCCUGUUUUGACAAGCCAGUGAUUCAUAGUAGCUGACCAGAGGAGUAGAUCUGCUUCUGGGUUUGAUAACAUGCCUCAGUUUUUGGGUUCAUUUCAAAAAUGGCCACUAGCUGUCCUAGGAGAUUUAAGCAACAAAUUCACAGAUGUCCCCUGCAGGAUCAAAGUGAAGGAACCAAUGUUUCAAGCCAAUAUACAGUUUUUAGCCUUAUCUGUUACAGUGUUGGCUUUUCCUAGAGAGAUUGGCUUCUGUAAAGGUCAAAAACCAUUUAGGAAGCUUACGCAGAAGUUUAUUACCGCUCUUCCGUCCCAAAGUCCACCUAAUUGUUGAGGGGGAGAAUGGUAAAUACACAGCCAAGUGUAAACAUGUCAUAGUAGUGACCUAUAUAUUUUAAAUAGGCACCAUUCAUACCAUUAGAUGCCUUUUCUUUAGUGCGUUGUCAUAAUCUGUAGAACUGCAUCGUUCACACAUAACGGGAUACAGAUUGCGAUACAGCUGUUGUGACUUGGAUUACUGAUUUUAGACCUCUUCAUUGGACAAAGUUUGUCAGGAUUCAAUGUCGCCAAAGAUCAAUCUGUCCUCAUAAGUAUUUUUCUUUUUUUUUUUAUGGAGGGGGAUGUAUGAAAACUGUGUACACAUGCAGCUCCUGUUCUUUGGCAAGCAGUCAUAGCAAGGAGUAAUUGCUGAAGUCCUCUGUGGCAAAGUCCAUGUUUUUUUAGGUUUUGCCUUGUGUUUCUAUUUUUUAUGAGAAAAGGGGAGGAAGUUGCAGAAUACAGCCAGAUUAUGCUUAUCAGGUAGCAACAUAUGCAUCAGCAACACAUCAGUAGCCUUUGCCUCUUUCUAAUAAAUAAUACUUACAGACUUACUGCACAAGCAUGAUUUUGGUUAAUUUGUUUAAUAAGGUGAAUUUUGCUGGAUCUCUUCUGUUAUUAACACAUUCACCAAUACGUGGUACACAAAAAUCUUUUCAUUGGCUGAAGAAAUUCCUCUACUGGAACAGAGCACCUUUUUGUUGCUUAGACAGACAGUAUAGUCAUUGUGUUAAAAUUUGUAAACUGGGGCCUUUAUCAGAAGGCAGCUGGACAACAUUUUUCUUUGGAAUCUCAGAUUAACGUGUUCUCUUUCUCUAGUUUUGCGUGUACUCUGAGGAUGGAAGGGCCAGUUAGGAGGCUGAGCAAAGCCAUUGCUACAGAUAGCAAAGAAAUGCAUCUCACUCCCAAUGACAUUGCUGUGAAGAUGCAGAAGAGGAGCACCAAAUUCCAAGACUUGCUGCAGGCAUGAAUGCUCCCAGAAGUGUGAGUCAGCUCAAAACAACUCCUAGGCUUUCUGUCUGUCCUACAGUCCAUCUGUCCCACUAUCCGAUCCAUGACCAAGGCCAUUUUAGGAGAUAAUUUUGGCUCUUCUUCAGAAUCUGCUGCACUUGUUUAUUCUUCAAGUCUUGGACUCUGAUGUUAGGGGAGCACAACUGGCAGGAAAUCUUGAGUCAGGACAUGCAGUUAGCUUGGAAUCCUUCUGGAUCUUAAAGCCAGAGAGGAUUUUUUUCAGUUCUUUGGACAUGAUCUCAGUAUAACUCCCACUGAGAGGAACUGAGCUGAACAGUACCUUUUGCUAUAGGUAGUCAAGAGGGUCAAGGUUUGUACUUCAGUGGAACCCAAAUUUAGCAUGUCUUACUUUUGUUUUCCUUUAGGCUGGUGAUUUGCAAUCAGGUGCUAAGAACACUGCUGUUUCUUCAAUCCCCACUCUGCUCUCAGAAGGGCAGGCAAAUUCCCUCACAAACACUGGGAAAGGAUUACUGGUGCCCUAAAUUACUGCAGUACUUAAAGUCAUGGACCAUAGCCCUGGAACAGGCUGAUGCACAUGCAGGUAAGCAAGGGACACAAUAAAUGUAUUGUUCCAUGCACACUUUUGCCAGCAGCAGCCUGUUUUGAGGCAUUCUCAGGACUCACCUCAACUGUAAGCUGCUUGUUCCUGACUCUGUUUCAGCUGUGCCAAAAUGACUGUAUAUGUGUGUGUUUGGGAACAGAAUCAUGAGACUGAUUCAGGUUAAACUGCCUAGCAAAGCUUUUUUUGCAGAAUUUUUUCUUCAAUACCUAUUUAAUUCCCAUGGCCUGAUUCAUAGGGUGGCCUUUUAGACAGUUGUGUUGAUAAGAGUCAUAUGGCUCUUAAGAGAACAAGGAGGGAAGGAAGAAACAGGCAGGAAGGAAGAAAAAAUUGCAGGAAGUACUGUAAAUCAAUACCACUUCCAAAGGCAACUUCUCUUCAAACCUACAGCCUCGUGGUGCUGCUGCUAAGACCUGAGCUAAGAUAUCACUGUUGUCCAGAGUCCAGUGUCCAUCUCACAGUCAGCAUCAACAAUGCUGGCACUUUCAUAGCUAUACUUGUAUCAGUUUGCUCAACAGCAGUGAUAAGCUAAAGAUUAAGUUAAAAGAAUGUAGUAGAAAGGGAUCCCUCAUAAACUUUUGAAGUUUUUUAGAAGGAAUUCCUUGCUCUUUACAAGCAGAAGUACUGCUGAAUUUGCAGAGCUUUGGAGUUGUGGAAUAGAAUCUGAAUUAACAGUGUAUUUAAACUUGAAGUUCUUAUUUAAAUUUUUAUGUUAAUUUUAGUUUGCCACUGAUGUCACACAAGCGACAGCAGGAAUCAUUUUACUGAAAUCACAGAUACUGCUGUGUCCCUCGUGAAGUAAUUUCUACCUGUGUAAAAUACCUAUGAAAUGCUACUAAAGCAAGUCAGCAUUUUAUACUGACUUGACACCCAUAUUGCAGUGAUGUAAAUUGCUGCAAUAUGAGGCAUAAGUGGAUAAAAUUAUACUAGAAUAAAAGUCUUGUGUCAGAUUUGAUCCCAUAUAAGUGUUUUGUACUGUUGUUUUAAUAGAGCAUUGCAAAAUUGAAAAAAUGAUUAGUAGUCCUGCCACUGCUUUAGCAUUUAAAAGGUCCUAUUUUCCAUUUCCCUAUAGUCCCUUUAUGCUACUUCAUUAGUUUAAAAAGGCCAUAAAGAGAGCACAUUUAGCCACUUGGGAAUAUUUUCAUUUCAGUGUUGCUCUUGCCUUUGGCAUAGUAGACAUGUUAGGUUGUGGC
Long non-coding RNA from Corapipo altera (White-ruffed manakin), 7713 nucleotides. RefSeq lists it as uncharacterized. The transcript has 3 exons. The record is from RefSeq and is a predicted model, not a curated record. NCBI's taxonomy places the organism in Eukaryota, Metazoa, Chordata, Aves, Passeriformes, Pipridae.